This 551-nucleotide ribosomal RNA is filed under the name Kodamaea ohmeri. RNAcentral's name for it is "partial large subunit ribosomal RNA". It matches the Rfam family "Eukaryotic large subunit ribosomal RNA", at positions 35 to 677 of the family's 3401-position model. The record is from RNAcentral. Lineage: Eukaryota; Fungi; Ascomycota; Pichiomycetes; Serinales; Debaryomycetaceae.
UUUGCAUAUUCCAAUAGCUGAGGAAAAGAAACCAACAGGGAUUGCCUCAGUAACGGCGAGUGAAGCGGCAAAAGCUCAAAUUUGAAAUCCCCCCGGGGAGUUGUAAUUUGAAGAUUGCGUCUUGGAGGCGACCGUGUCUAUGUUCCUUGGAACAGGACGUCACAGAGGGUGAGAAUCCCGUGCGGCACGGCCCCCGGCUCCUUAUAAGGCGCUCUCGACGAGUCGAGUUGUUUGGGAAUGCAGCUCAAAGUGGGUGGUAAAUUCCAUCUAAAGCUAAAUACAGGCGAGAGACCGAUAGCGAACAAGUACAGUGAUGGAAAGAUGAAAAGCACUUUGAAAAGAGAGUGAAACAGCACGUGAAAUUGUUGAAAGGGAAGGGCAUGCCGUCAGAUUGUCAGUGUGGGUAAGAAGCGGGGUACAAAGACUGUGGAACGUGGCCCUCGGGUGUUAUAGCCGCAGUUCAUGCCCCGUCUCUUUCCGAGGCCUGCUUUGAGGACACCGACGUAAUGACGGUACGCCGCCCGUCUUGAACCCCCGGACCAAAACGGGGG